Molecule: non-coding RNA, 26 nt
Filed under: Mus musculus (house mouse)
Lineage: Eukaryota; Metazoa; Chordata; Mammalia; Rodentia; Muridae
Source: RNAcentral
UACUAAGCCUUCGAAGUCGUCCAAGC